UACGUAGGGGGCAAGCGUUGUUCGGAAUCACUGGGCAUAAAGGGCGCGUAGGCGGUCCAUUAAGUCCUUUGUGAAAGCCCCCGGCUCAACCGGGGAAUUGCAGGGGAUACUGUUGGGCUUGAGUGCAGGAGGGGAGAGCGGAAUUCCUGGUGGAGCGGUGAAAUGCGUAGAUAUCAGGAGGAACGCCGGUGGCGAAAGCGGCUCUCUGGUCUGUUACUGACGCUGAGGCGCGAAAGCUAGGGGAGCAAACGGG
RNAcentral lists this ribosomal RNA (253 nucleotides) under uncultured bacterium. Its description in RNAcentral is "partial 16S ribosomal RNA". It matches the Rfam family "Bacterial small subunit ribosomal RNA", at positions 524 to 776 of the family's 1533-position model. The record is from RNAcentral.